Molecule: ribosomal RNA, 253 nt
Filed under: uncultured bacterium
Lineage: Bacteria
Description: partial 16S ribosomal RNA
Rfam family: Bacterial small subunit ribosomal RNA
Source: RNAcentral
UACGGGGGGGGCUAGCGUUGUUCGGAAUUACUGGGCGUAAAGGGCGCGUAGGCGGUCUGCUAAGUUGGAUGUGAAAACUCUGGGCUUAACCCAGAGCCUGCAUUCAAUACUGACAGGCUAGAGUUCUGGAGGGGAUAGCGGAAUUCCUGGUGUAGCGGUGAAAUGCGUAGAUAUCAGGAGGAACACCGGUGGCGAAGGCGGCUAUCUGGACAGUGACUGACGCUGAGACGCGAAAGCGUGGGGAGCAAACAGG